Non-coding RNA from Bactrocera oleae (olive fruit fly), 1833 nucleotides. NCBI's taxonomy places the organism in Eukaryota, Metazoa, Arthropoda, Insecta, Diptera, Tephritidae. The record is from RefSeq and is a predicted model, not a curated record.
CUCUAGUGUUCGCUUCUACUCGUAUAAAAUUUUUUUUUAGUUUUCAGAUUUUCAGUCAAAACAAAUCUAUCAAAUUUCAGUGAUAGCCUAAUCACGUCUGUCAUGGUUUACGACAAGUUUCCCAAACUUGAAACUUCAGCUUCGUUUUUCUAACUCUCGCGAGUCACCCACUGAAGUGGUCUAAGAAAUUGGUGCUUCAGCAGUGAAAGAGAAAUAUUGCAAUAUGAAGCCUAAUGAAACUUUAAAAUGUAAAAAAUAACGUUACACAGAGAAAGUAUGAAAGGAACUAACUCCAAAUUCAAAACUGUCAUACUUCACGAAAUUCAAGCAAACAAGCGGUAUGAAAUAGAGGACUGAAACAAACUGAUGGAGCCUGCAAUAAAUGCACAAAUAAAAGAAAAUAAUUUGAUGAAAUUUUGUAAAAUGACCCGCAACACGAAAUGGGGAAAACUUCCUUAAUCAGUGGCGCUGGUAUUGCCGAGCUGAAAUGGCUGGCAAAGAAACUUGGUCCCGGCGAAACAAGAGUCAGCCACGACCAAGCCUAACUUUUUGACAACUUUGCCAACAAACAAGCAAAUAAAUAUUAAAGGAGAAGCGGCGAAAAAAAUAGCAAAGAGGAAACGGAAAAAUGCAAACCGAGAUUCAAAAGAAAACGAAACUGACACUCGAAAAGGAAAAUGCAGUUGGAUGGAAAAAAUACUGACAAGGGUUUGAAAUACUAUUUGGCGAAAGUACAGUUAUACCCGGCAUACUGGUUGAAAGGUAGAUGUAAUUGAAAGUUUGAAAAUUUGAAAGUAAUCAAAAUUAGCUUAAUACACGGUGACUGAACCGAAUGGUCCCGAACUUGAAAUUUCGCCUUAAUGCGCAAGAUUUUCACACCGUAAAGCGGAAACAGGAAGCAAUAUAUAUAUAUUUAUAAUAUUAGCUAUCUAAUCGUACGCACUCAGAAUCGACAAUAUCUCGGUCAAUAUGAUAAAGUAGCUUACAUUUUCAAUUUAGUUAAAGUGGACAUUUUGAGUUUCUUUAGUUGACUUAGGAUAUCGAGGAGUCGAUCAGAUUUUUACUUGAAAUCAAAUACUUUAUAUAAGACUUGGUCUAACUUCGAUAUGCAUACAUAUGUAUGUGUAUUACAUUACAAAGGUAUAACCUUUCCAUAUUUCACAAACUGAUUAUACCUUAACUGCUGCAAAAGUAGGACAUAAAAAGUGCACAUUGAAAUUCUAGUUGUUUUAAAGCUAAAUAUACCGUUAGCGUGAAAUGCAAGUGCGCGGCGUAAGAAGGAAUCCACACGCUUGGGCGCCAAGCGGAGUUACAGAGGCACACUUUCGCACACACACAUUGGAAAGCAUGUGAGGGCACUUGAUGGCAGAGGCGUGCAUUUCUGCGGACGGGCGAAAUUAGCCUCUUGCUCCCGGGCUGUGCAGUGGCGCUGGUGUGGGGCUUGCGGAAAAGGCAAAAUGUGUUGUAAUUAGCUUCAUUUCUUUUGCGGCUUUCGUGGCAGAAUUGCCUUAAAAAUUAUGGGGAAUGCUCAACACUUCUGAAAAAGGAAUUGACUAAGUUUUCAAGAAUAUAUGUUUAAGAAAGAUUAAAUAUUGAAAAUCAUUACGUAUUAAAUAUGGGAAGACGAAUUUUUACCAUUUUCGGCUUUACAAUUAAACUAAAUUACCGCAGUCAGCAACUUCGUUAUAUGAGGUCUAUCAUAAAAUAUGGUCCGAUUUUAGCCAGUUCAAAUACCAAAUUUAUAUAUACUUAGGCUUAUAAAUAUGUCUUAUAUUGUUAUCAAUAAGAAAUAAACGCUGUAUGGUGUUUAGUGGAAAACGUGGAACUCUUUUG